This is a long non-coding RNA of Cyprinus carpio (common carp), 1402 nucleotides long. The record is from Ensembl. NCBI's taxonomy places the organism in Eukaryota, Metazoa, Chordata, Actinopteri, Cypriniformes, Cyprinidae.
UUUUUUUUUUUUUUUAUAAUUUUAUACAAAAUGUCUGUGAUAUAGAGACACUACACCCAGUGUAGAUGGAGGACCAAAUCUGCAGAAAUUAUGAAUAAAUAAACAAUAAACAAAUAAAUGUAAUAGGAAAUUAAAGGAAUAAAUGACUUGACAAAACAGAACUCGUUUUCAAUGAUAAUUUAAUCCUGAAUUUAUUUUUGUAUUAACUUUUUUCCUUCCUUUAUUAUUAGGUUUUACGUAGCUACAUAUUCCUUUUAGAUAGUCAUUGCAUAGCUACAGUGUAUCAUUGGUUAAUAGGUCACACAUAGAAGCAUCAAUUGUCAGAUCUAACUAAGGAAUAGAGAUCAGAGUUUUCUAUGAGAUGUCAAGUCAACUGGAGAGUUCCAAGUUAUUUCAAGGUUGAUGACACCUAGAAACCCUGAAUCCCUGUGUUUUAUUUUAUAAUCACAGAGAAAAGCUUAACGCCGAAAAGCGUAAAAGCCAUUGUAACAACCUACUGUUCACUAGGUGGCAUCAACCUAGAAUCUGAUGAUGUUGAUGGUUCUGGCCUUGAUUACUUUGCCGUGAGUAAGGAUCACAUAGUAGGGCUGUGCGAUAUGGACAAAAAAAAAUCUAUCGCGAUUUUUUGAUAAAUUGUGUGAUUUCGAUUUUAAUCACGAUUUUGACACACACAGACAUGCUUUACAGUCAUAAAUGCAUUCAGUAUAAAUUUGAAACAUAUUUCCAAAAGAAAACCAAUAAGAGCUUUAUCAAAAAGUUGUAAGUCAAAAUAAUCACUAAGUAAAGAUGUCAAACAAAAUGUUUAGACAUAUGGCAAAAAAUAAAUAAAUAAAAUAAAACCUAUGUCCAGGGAUUUUUUUUUCUUUCUUGCCAUGCAUUGGUCAUAGAGCUCACUGUAUCGGUGGCUCAGGUGUUGAAAUAGAUUUGUUAUACAUUAUACAGGUUCACACGUACUCCGUCUGCAAUGCGUAUACAGUAUGUGUACGCGGUGCAGAAGCAGCAGUGAGAGCGCGUUAUUGUAACGCGAAAGCACAUUCAAUAUUGCGUGAGUGCAAAUAUCUCUGCUCGCACGUAGAUUUCCUUUGCUCUAUCACAAAACCAGACGUGCGUGCUCAGAUACAUGCUGCUCUCACCCGGAGAGAGUGCCUGCACUUAAAACGUGUUUCCCUUCGCUCAAACGGUGUCUUGUGCUCUCACAACUCUCUCUAUGCUCCAAAAAAAUACGCAUCACAGACAGAGUGUGUGAACCUGGAGUUAGGCAUAUGCCCAGUCUGUUCUGUUCUUGCGCUCCACUUAGGUGCACUGCAUGAUUUUAUUACAAAUUCGAUUUAAUAUAUUAUUAUUGUUGUAUGAAUUAUAUUAUGACAAAAUGGGUGAAUAAAUCUCAUCAUAUAUACUUACA